RNAcentral lists this ribosomal RNA (377 nucleotides) under uncultured bacterium. RNAcentral describes it as "bacterial SSU rRNA". It matches the Rfam family "Bacterial small subunit ribosomal RNA", at positions 790 to 1167 of the family's 1533-position model. The record is from RNAcentral.
GUAGUCCACGCCGUAAACGAUGAGUACUAGUGAUCGUGGGAUUGACCCCUGCGGCCACAAAGCUAACGCAUUAAGUACUCCGCCUGGGAAGUACGGUCGCAAGACUAAAACUCAAAGGAAUUGACGGGGGCCCGCACAAGCGGUGGAUUAUGUGGUUUAAUUCGAAGCAACGCGCAGAACCUUACCUAGGCUUGACAUCCUGGAAAUCCCUCACAAAAGAGGGAGUGCCCUUCGGGGAAUCCAGAGACAGGUGCUGCAUGGCUGUCGUCAGCUCGUGUUGUGAAAUGUUGGGUUAAGUCUCGCAACGAGCGCAACCCCUGUUCUUAGUUGCCAGCAUUAAGUUGGGCACUCUAAGGAGACUGCCUGGGUAACCAGGA